Molecule: ribosomal RNA, 745 nt
Filed under: Candidatus Synechococcus spongiarum
Lineage: Bacteria; Bacillati; Cyanobacteriota; Cyanophyceae; Synechococcales; Synechococcaceae
Description: bacterial SSU rRNA
Rfam family: Bacterial small subunit ribosomal RNA
Source: RNAcentral
CUGGCCGUAAACGAUGAACACUAGAUGUUGGGGGAAUCGACCCCCUCGGUGUCGUAGCUAACGCGUUAAGUGUUCCGCUUGGGGAGUACGCACGCAAGUGUGAAACUCAAAGGAAUUGACGGGGGCCCGCACAAGCGGUGGAGUAUGUGGUUUAAUUCGAUGCAACGCGAAGAACCUUACCAAGGCUUGACAUCCUGCGAAUCUCUAAGAAAUUAGAGAGUGCCUUCGGGAACGCAGUGACAGGUGGUGCAUGGCUGUCGUCAGCUCGUGUCGUGAGAUGUUGGGUUAAGUCCCGCAACGAGCGCAACCCACGUUUUUAGUUGCCAGCAUUCAGUUGGGCACUCUAGAGAGACUGCCGGUGACAAACCGGAGGUAGGUGUGGACGACGUCAAGUCAUCAUGCCCCUUACGCCUUGGGCUACACACGUACUACAAUGCUGCGGACAAAGAGUAGCGAUCUUGCGAAAGUUAGCUAAUCUCAUAAACCGUGGCUCAGUUCAGAUCGUAGGCUGCAACUCGCCUACGUGAAGUAGGAAUCGCUAGUAAUCGCAGGUCAGCAUACUGCGGUGAAUACGUUCCCGGGCCUUGUACACACCGCCCGUCACACCAUGGAAGUUGGCCAUGCCCGAAGUCGUUACUCUAACCUUCCUUUGGGGAGGGAGAGGGCGCCGAAGGCAGGGCUGAUGACCGGGGUGAAGUCGUAACAAGGUAGCCGUAGCGGAAGCUGCGGCUGGAUCACCUCCUAA